This is a non-coding RNA of Podarcis lilfordi (Lilford's wall lizard), 65 nucleotides long. Lineage: Eukaryota; Metazoa; Chordata; Lepidosauria; Squamata; Lacertidae. The record is from the annotation of a GenBank genome assembly.
GGGCUCAGUGGUAGAGCACCUGCCUUACAUGCAGACAGUCCCAGGUUCAAUCCCUGCCAUCUCCA